GGCUCAGGAUGAACGCUGGCGGCGUGCCUAAUACAUGCAAGUCGAACGAGAUAGCAAUAUCGAGUGGACGAACGGGUGAGUAACACGUAGGUAACCUGCCUUACAGUUGGGAUACCCUGGCGAAAGCUAGGCUAAUACCGAAUAAUUGGAUUGGAGGCAUCUCCGAUCUCUAAAAGGGGCCCUUAAAGCCUCGCUGAAUGAUGGACCUGCGGCGCAUUAGCUAGUUGGUGAGAUAACAGCCCACCAAGGCGAGGAUGCGUAGCCGACCUGAGAGGGUGAACGGCCACACUGGAACUGAGACACGGUCCAGACUCCUACGGGAGGCAGCAGUAGGGAGUUUUCGGCAAUGGGGGAAACCCUGACCGAGCAACGCCGCGUGAAUGAUUAGAAGGUCUUCGGAUUGUAAAGUUCUGUUGUAAGGGAAAAACGAUAUGGUGAGGAAAUGCUCCAUAUUUGAUGGUACCUUAUUAGAAAGCCACGGCUAACUACGUGCCAGCCGCAGC
RNAcentral lists this ribosomal RNA (503 nucleotides) under uncultured bacterium. RNAcentral's name for it is "bacterial SSU rRNA". It matches the Rfam family "Bacterial small subunit ribosomal RNA", at positions 21 to 518 of the family's 1533-position model. The record is from RNAcentral.